Molecule: ribosomal RNA, 237 nt
Filed under: uncultured Staphylococcus sp.
Lineage: Bacteria; Bacillati; Bacillota; Bacilli; Caryophanales; Staphylococcaceae
Description: partial 16S ribosomal RNA
Rfam family: Bacterial small subunit ribosomal RNA
Source: RNAcentral
CGGGUGAGUAACACGUGGAUAGCCUACCUAUAAGACUGGGAUAACUUCGGGAAACCGGAGCUAAUACCGGAUAAUAUUUUGAACCGCAUGGUUCAAAAGUGAAAGACGGUCUUGCUGUCACUUAUAGAUGGAUCCGCGCUGCAUUAGCUAGUUGGUAAGGUAACGGCUUACCAAGGCAACGAUGCAUAGCCGACCUGAGAGGGUGAUCGGCCACACUGGAACUGAGACACGGUCCAG